This 192-nucleotide ribosomal RNA is filed under the name uncultured bacterium. RNAcentral describes it as "partial 16S ribosomal RNA". It matches the Rfam family "Bacterial small subunit ribosomal RNA", at positions 340 to 524 of the family's 1533-position model. The record is from RNAcentral.
UACGGGAGGCAGCAGUGAGGAAUAUUGGUCAAUGGGCGCAAGCCUGAUCCAGCAAUGCCGCGUGUGUGAAGAAGGCCUGCGGGUUGUAAAGCACUUUUAUCGGGAAAGAAAUCCUUAGGGUUAAUAACUCUGAGGCUUGACGGUACCCGAAGAAUAAGGACCGGCUAACUCAGUGCCAGCAGCCGCGGUAAU